Molecule: long non-coding RNA, 525 nt
Organism: Aphis gossypii (cotton aphid)
Lineage: Eukaryota; Metazoa; Arthropoda; Insecta; Hemiptera; Aphididae
Exons: 3
Source: RefSeq, a predicted model, not a curated record
AACGAUUUAUUUGUUUAUACUUUACCCUAUUCCAAUUUUUAUAUUAAUAAAUUCUCAUGACUUUUAAUCAGCUCUAAUAUAAUAAAAUUUUAAACGCAUAAAUCAUAAUAAUGUACGAGUUUGGUGAACCUGACGGCUGCCCUUGCGAAGAGUUUGAGGAGGAAACAUUUUCCGAGAGAUUUUGGGGCGCAUGUGGCAUGGUACCGUACACUAAACAAGUAUUUAAUAUUGCCGGAGCAAUAAAAAAUCAUUUUACGAUUUCAGUCGCUUCACAGUAUUAUCGUAACGUCGUAUGGUGGACUACGAGUACAGCUACGGUCUUAUUUUUACCAAUUUUCAUCGACAAACCGAUUCUAGAAGCAGUUACCACAAAAUUAUAGUUGUCUCAUCUAUAGAGUACUAUGUACUCAUAGCGCAACCAUACAAUAAAUUAUUAUUUAAAUAAUAUAAUAAUUAUUUUAAAUAAUGAUAUUGUGUCUGAUAAUAUAUACAAUGAAGAAAUAUAACAAAAAUGUAGGUAUUGCA